RNAcentral lists this long non-coding RNA (1949 nucleotides) under Macaca fascicularis (crab-eating macaque). Its description in RNAcentral is "lncRNA (ENSMFAG00000054599.1)". The record is from RNAcentral. Lineage: Eukaryota; Metazoa; Chordata; Mammalia; Primates; Cercopithecidae.
AAGCAAGGUCAAGGUUUCUGUUUCAUAUGGCCCAGACAGCAUCUGUCUGUUCUUUGAGUAAUGUCGAGCCCUCCAGAGAGCAUCCCAUAGGUGCUAUUGGAAUCAAUCUCAUUACCUUGCUUGCUUUACUUCUUGCCCCCUUUAAGGAUCAGAAACCAGAGUGGCUCAGAACCCAUUCUUCACCAAGUGACCCACAAUUUACCUUCUUAUUGUUCAACUUUUCAUUUUAUUCUUGGCCCAGGUGUGGCUUUCUUGAGCCCUUUCUCUCAGCCCUCUCCUGGCAAUAUAAAAUGGCCUUCUCGCUUUCAAAUUCGCAGAACCUAAUCUUUCCCUGCUUCGCAUAACUAUGAUAGCACUUACCACCCUGUGUUGCAAUUACUGGAUUCCUCUCUACAUGAUAAACUCUUCGGCACACUGUGCCCCACUUAGUAAACCCAGUGCUUAGCAUAGUGCCUGACACAUGGAAGUUUCCCAAUCAAUGUUUUUUUAAUGAAUAACCUGGCUUCUUGGCCAUAGCCCUGGAUUUUGCUUUUUAAGCUGGCUUCUAACCACACUUUCUUCUCCUAAGAUUGGGGAACACUUUUGCUUAAACACUGGCCUGGGCUUCCCGUAGCAGCCCACGCCAGCCAUAAAGUCUUCUGAAAUAAGGUAGUGUGACAUUCUGCUGUGCCUCCUGGCCACAGCCGGUCUUGUAUUCCACACAGUAACCCUUUCCUCUUUCCCAAGUGAGAAAUAAGUACAUGUCCUUGGACAUAAAUGAAAAGGUAAAAGAACACAGAAGAAUCAGUGCAGAUCUAUUUCUUCUAUUUGAAAUAUAAUUCUAAGAAAUGCUAUCUGAUCUGCCAAAGACUACACACACAGUCCAGCACCUGCCAAGUGGUAGGCACUGUGCUGUGUUUACGUACAUCGUCUCUCUUGAUCCUGCCAAUCCUAGGAGAAAGAGAUUAUUGUCUCCAUUUUAUAGAUGAAAAAAUUAAGAUUCAAAAUAUAUAUAACUAAACAAAUAUGAUAUAGCUAAGUAAAUAGAGGAGUUGAAAUUCAUACCCAGGUCUGCCUAACUCCAAUGCCAAUGCUGUUUCCACUAUACCAUUCACCAUACUACAUGGUCCUCAAAUUAGGCUCUACCACAUAUACCUAAAGAAUACACUUGAAAGAAUGAAAAACAUAUCUUCAAAACACUAGAUAGCAAGACUAAGAAAAAGGUAAGCCUUGGAAAAUGAGGGGAAAAAAAUCCUUUGACCAAAGGAAUUUGAUGACAGUUAAGACAGCCAUAGCAACGCAAAAUAUUGUAACUCUGGUUGAAAGAUGGUGCAAGUUUUUAAUGAAUCAUAAAUUCAAAAUAAUUAGGAACAUCAGACAGGCCUUCAUAAAUAAAAAUCUCUGGUUUAUUUUUAAAAUACAUAUAACACUAUUGAAUCAAAGAGAAUCCUACACAAAGACUAUGCUUUCAGGGAUCAUUUCUAUAGUUCAUUUAAGAAUGCUACACAACCAAGAGUUAAUUAUAAAAUUGUAACAUUUUUCCCACCUACUUUUUUCAAGCACACAAGCUGUCCUGCAUUCAUUUCUGUGAAUAUUAAAUAACCCAGUCCAAAGGUGACUAGCAUGCAAAUAACUGUGCAACACAAAAUGUUCUCCUACAAUCAGAUAGCUGAACAAGAUUAAUCAGAGAAAGCAUUUUGACUUCAGAUAAUCUUUGAAUACUUACCUACAGAAAGUAUUUAACUAUUUUCCUUGAUCAAAUGACAGAUAGUAAUACAAACAAAAUUUACAUGAGGGGGAAAAUUAUGUUUGAGAAAGAGUCGGAUUUUUAAUAUAUAAAUCUGUGCUUCUUAAUCUAGCUUCAAGCUACCUAUGACUUGCUUCUUCUCCCCAACUUCCAUCCCCAACCACCUGACUACCUUGAUUUAUUGCAAGCCACUUAAAAAAAAAAAAAAAAAAAAAAAAAAAAA